This 1594-nucleotide long non-coding RNA is filed under the name Phasianus colchicus (ring-necked pheasant). RNAcentral describes it as "lncRNA (ENSPCLG00000018597.1)". The record is from RNAcentral. Lineage: Eukaryota; Metazoa; Chordata; Aves; Galliformes; Phasianidae.
CCCCACUGGGGGUCUUUGGGGUUUUGUGGUGCCCUUUAUGGGAUUUUCCCCCCUACAGCCGCUCCCGAUCCGCGCGGCCUCCCCCGAAUUUGGGAUCCUGACACCGACGACCCCAUAUCCGACGACCCCAUAUCCGACAUCGCCGCCCCAUUGUUUCUGUCCUCCCGCGGCUUCGCUCCACCCCACAACAGCGACGACCCCAUAAAGGCGACGUCCGACCCCAUAAACGCCGACUCUCCGUCACCCCAUAAGCUGGACUCGUUCCCGACCCUAAAAGACGACAAUGGGGACGAAGAGCUGAACUUCGAAUUCCUCCCCGUGGAUUUGGGGUCAAAAGGGAAGAAAAAGGGCAAAAGGAACGCCGGCCCCGUUGGGGUUGACCCUAUUGAUCCUAUUAGGGUCAGGGUUGGCCCCGCUGACCCUAUAAGGGUCGGGGUUGAUCCCACUGGUCCCACUGGGGUCAAAGUUGACCCGUUGGCCAACGUUGACCCCAUAAGGGUUGGGGUCGACCCCAUUGACCCUAUAAGGGUUGGGGUUGACCCCACUGACCCCAUUAGGGUCGGGGUUGACCCCACUGACCCUAUUAGGGCCAGGGAUGGUCCAUUGGCCAACGUUGACCCUAUAAGGGUUGGGGUCGACCCCACUGACCCCAUUGGGGUUGGGGUUGACCCCAUUGACCCCAUUGGGGUUGGGGUUGACCCCAUUGACCCCAUUAGGGUCAGGGCUGGCCCGUUGGCCAACGUUGACCCCAUAAGGGUUGGGGUCAACCACACCCACCCCAUUGGGGUCAACCCAUUGGCCAAGGUUUACCCCAUUGUCACGGCGGCGCAUUUUGGGGUCGCGGGGCUUUUGGGGGAUCCCAAUCUUUUGGGGGAUCCCAAUCUUUCGGGGGACAUCAGCGGUUCCGGGGACACCGAUCUUCCCACCACGACCCCAAAAACCCCAAACCCCAUAACCACCCCAAAUCCCACCACCACCCCAAAGCAAGGGCUGUGCCAUAAUAACGGGGUGCACAUCAAUGGGAUUUGUCACUGCACCCCAUUAUUUUAUGGGGUCGAGUGUCAGUACGCCAAGGAGAGCGUGGAGGUCAACGACGGUAUGGGGUCGGCCCUAUAUGGUUAUAGGGUGGGGGUAUGGGGUCGGCCCUAUAAGCUUAUAGGGUGGGGGUAUGGGGUCGGCCCUAUAAGCUUAUAGGGUGGGGGUAUGGGGUCAGCCCUAUAAGCUUAGAGGGUGGGGAUACGGGGAUGGCCCUAUAAGCUUAUAGGGUGGGGAUAUGGGGUCUGGGGGGACAGAAGUGUGGGAUCGGGGUCAGUGAGGAUGUGGGAAUGGGGUUUUGGGGUUGGCAUUGGGGGAUGGUUAUGGGGUCGGGGUUAUCAGCGGGGGAUUGGGGUCCCUAUAGGGGCAGAUAUGGGAUAUGGGGUCCCUAUAAGGGCAGAUAUGGGAUAUGGGGUCUUUAUAGGGGACAGAUAUGGGGUCCCUAUGGGGGCUGAUAUGGGGUAUGGGGUCCCUAUGGGAUAUGGGGUCCCUAUAAGGGCAGAUAUGGGGUAUGGGGUCCCUAUAAGGGCAGAUAUGGGAUAUGGGGUCUUUAUAGGGG